AGCCAAGUGGUCUGUAAAUUAAUCUCAUAUUGCUGUUCUCGAUGGGCAGGACGACGGCUAUAGGUUGAUAUGGGGAAAGAUGAGGGCGGCGACGCGGGCUAGGUGAAGAGCGGCAGUGCACUGUGAGGAGGGCAAAUGCGGCGGCGCGCUGCUAGGUCGGCGGCACGAGCUGGGUGGAGGGCCGAGGGCGGCUGCGGCGCGCUGGAGGAGGGCGAGGGCGGCGGCGCCGCGGGCUGGAUGUAGGGCGGCGGAGGAGGCACGCGCUGGGGCGAGGGCGAGGGCCAGGGAGGCGACGCCACGGGCGGGUCGAGGGCGGCGGGCCAGUGGCGCUGGGAUAGGCGGCGUGUCCUCUGUGAAACUAGGGAGCAGAGAGGGCUCAGGAGGGAGGGAGACGACCAGUUUUUUUAUUUUUAGUAAUGUA
This 421-nucleotide long non-coding RNA is filed under the name Brachypodium distachyon (stiff brome). RNAcentral describes it as "long non-coding RNA (BDIS_LNC005056)". The record is from RNAcentral. Lineage: Eukaryota; Viridiplantae; Streptophyta; Magnoliopsida; Poales; Poaceae.